AGGGUGCGAGCGUUGUCCGGAAUUACUGGGCGUAAAGAGCUCGUAGGUGGUUUGUCGCGUCGUUUGUGUAAGCCCGCAGCUUAACUGCGGGACUGCAGGCGAUACGGGCAUAACUUGAGUGCUGUAGGGGAGACUGGAAUUCCUGGUGUAGCGGUGGAAUGCGCAGAUAUCAGGAGGAACACCGAUGGCGAAGGCAGGUCUCUGGGCAGUAACUGACGCUGAGGAGCGAAAGCAUGGGUAGCGAACAGGAUUAGAUACCCUGGUAGUCCAUGCCGUAAACGGUGGGCGCUAGGUGUGAGUCCCUUCCACGGGGUUCGUGCCGUAGCUAACGCAUUAAGCGCCCCGCCUGGGGAGUACGGCCGCAAGGCUAAAACUCAAAGGAAUUGACGGGGGCCCGCACAAGCGGCGGAGCAUGUGGAUUAAUUCGAUGC
Molecule: ribosomal RNA, 431 nt
Filed under: Campylobacter jejuni
Lineage: Bacteria; Pseudomonadati; Campylobacterota; Epsilonproteobacteria; Campylobacterales; Campylobacteraceae
Description: bacterial SSU rRNA
Rfam family: Bacterial small subunit ribosomal RNA
Source: RNAcentral